UACGGAAGGGGCAAGCGUUGUUCGGAAUCAUUGGGCGUAAAGGGCGCGUAGGUGGUUCUGUAUGUCUACCGUGAAAGCGUACGGCUCAACCGUAUUUUGUCGGUAGAAACUGCAGGACUUGAGGCUGGGAGGGGCUGGUGGAAUUCCCUGUGUAGCGGUGAAAUGCGCAGAUAAUCAGGAGGAACACCGGUGGCGAAGGCGGGUCUCUGGGCCGAAACUGACGCUGAGGAGCGAAAGCGUGGGGAGCAAACAGG
RNAcentral lists this ribosomal RNA (254 nucleotides) under uncultured bacterium. RNAcentral's name for it is "partial 16S ribosomal RNA". It matches the Rfam family "Bacterial small subunit ribosomal RNA", at positions 524 to 776 of the family's 1533-position model. The record is from RNAcentral.